Molecule: long non-coding RNA, 1027 nt
Filed under: Mus musculus (house mouse)
Lineage: Eukaryota; Metazoa; Chordata; Mammalia; Rodentia; Muridae
Description: RIKEN cDNA 2810403D21 gene
Source: RNAcentral
CUAGAGCUCCGGAGUUGCUUACCCUUCCUGUAAGGGCAAUCGGACCCUUUCCGAACUCAUGUGAGAAUAUAUCUCUGUUGUAUUCAAAAGGCAUGUGACAUAAUUAUCCCAGCGAUCACUAAAACUGUAAAUUUGGAUGCAAUUAAGAGAGAAAACUCCACACAUUUAUGGAAAUUUAAGAUAUUGAAUAUGUAGUAUAUGCCAGACAAGAUGAUAAUAAAAACUAAAAGCAUCUGGAUGUUGAAUUCUCAGCUCCUUCUCCAGGACCAUGUCUGCCUGGAUGCUGCCAUGCCAUGCUUCCUGCCAUGAGAAUAAUAGACUCAACCUCUGAAACUUGAUGGAAUGUAAUCCAGAAUGUACUUUUUUAUUUCUGAAAUCUCUGUAAAACAGUACAAUGGAAAAAUGAAAACGAAAGACAUAAUUGAGGAAAUCCAACAUCCCACAAAAAGGAAUUCUAGAAAGAUUUGCAGCUUGCUGGCUUGCUGAGUGGAAAAUGAUUCUUUCCCAGUUCUCCUUGGUUUCUUCCUUUCAUGAAUUGAUUAACACUGAGAGAUUAUGUUUUAAUUAUGUCGACUAGAGGUUUUAAAUGAUUCUAGGUUUCUGUGUCCAUUUGUUUUCCUAGGUUUGGGGAAUUUGCUACUGCAAUAUCGUUGUAUAGAUAUUCUUUGCUUUAGUGAGAAACUCAGCUCCUUCUACUCUGUGGUUCUUAGCUUUAGUCUAUUGUACACAUCACAGAGUUAAUGAAAGCUGUGGUCAUACUUGAUUUUUUCUUCAUUACUAUUGAAAUAAAGCAUAUCCUUGACCUUGUCUCCAAUCUCUAUUUUCAAGUCUGUUGGGGAUACAUUCCACUAUUGUUUGAUUGAAAUAUCCAUUUCCAACAUUUCUAUUACUUUGCUUCUUUUUUUUUUGUCCCCACCAAAAAUAAAUAUUUAUAGAAUUGUAAAUCAAAAUGAAACAUUUUUCUGUAUGUAUAAAAACAAAAGGAAACAAACAAAUAAAAAAAUCUGCAUAUUGAUUUGUUGUAACA